GAUGAACGCUGGCGGCAUGCUUUACACAUGCAAGUCGGACGGGAAGUGCUGUUUCCAGUGGCGGACGGGGGAGUAACGCGUGAGAACCUGCCCUUGGGCCGUGACCAACCGCUGGAAACGGCUGCUAAUACCCCGUAGACUGCGGACCGAAAGGAGGGAUCCGCCCAAGGAGGGGCUCGCUUUUGAUUAGCUAGUUGGUGAUGUCAUAGCUUACCAAUGCUGUGAUCAGUAGCUGCUCCGAGAGGAUGAUCAGACACACUUGUAGUGAGACGAGGGCCAGAGUGCGGAGUGAUGGAGCAGCGGGGAAAUUCCGACAAUGGGGGGAAGCAUGAAGGAGGAAUGCCGUGUGGAGAGAAAAGUGCUACGGUAGAUGAACUUAUUUUCGUGGAGGAGAAAAAAUGACGGUAUCAUACGAAUAAGCACCGGCUAACUCCGUG
This 437-nucleotide ribosomal RNA is filed under the name uncultured bacterium. RNAcentral's name for it is "partial 16S ribosomal RNA". It matches the Rfam family "Bacterial small subunit ribosomal RNA", at positions 28 to 507 of the family's 1533-position model. The record is from RNAcentral.